GAAUUUUGGUCAAGGAUGGACUCGCGGCCUAUCAGGUAGUUGGUGAGGUAACGGCUCACCAAGCCGACGACGGGUAGCCGGCCUGAGAGGGUGACCGGCCACACUGGGACUGAGACACGGCCCAGACUCCUACGGGAGGCAGCAGUGGGGAAUAUUGCACAAUGGGCGAAAGCCUGAUGCAUCAACGCCGCGUGAGGGACGACGGCCUUCGGGUUGUAAACCUCUUUUAGCAGGGAAGAAGCGAAAGUGACGGUACCUGCGGAAAAAGCACCGGCUAACUACGUGCCAGCAGCCGCGGUAAUACGUAGGGUGCAAGCGUUGUCCGGAAUUAUUGGGCGUAAAGAGCUCGUAGGCGGUUUGUCGCGUCUGCUGUGAAAACGCGAGGCUCAACCUCUCGCCUGCAGUGGGUACGGGCAGACUAGAGUGCGGUAGGGGAGAUUGGAAUUCCUGGUGUAGCGGUGGAAUGCGCGGAUAUCACGAGGAACACCGAUGGCGAAGGCAGAUCUCUGGGCCGUAACUGACGCUGAUGAGCGAAAGUAUGGGGAGCGAACAGGAUUAGAUACCCUGGUAGUCCACGCCGUAAACGUUGGGAACUAGAUGUCGUGGACCAUUUCUACGGUCUCCGUGUCUCAGCUAGCGACAUUCAAGUUCCCC
Molecule: ribosomal RNA, 654 nt
Filed under: Labedella gwakjiensis
Lineage: Bacteria; Bacillati; Actinomycetota; Actinomycetes; Micrococcales; Microbacteriaceae
Description: bacterial SSU rRNA
Rfam family: Bacterial small subunit ribosomal RNA
Source: RNAcentral